GUCGAUACCAUCCUUAUGCAAGGUAGAAUCAUUGCAUAGUCCGUACCAUCCAUCCCCUUGCAAGCUAGAAAAGAAGCUUACUCAAUUGCUGUCUUGCUAAGAUUUGCCAUAGAGUCUUCAAACACAGGUUCCUUUAGUUUUGUGGCCCAGUGAUAGGCGCUUCUCACAAAUACUAGAGGUCCCAAGGAAGCUUUUGAAAGAUCCGAAGAGUGUAUUAGACAUUUUAUUGUAUGGUUUUAG
RNAcentral lists this unclassified non-coding RNA (240 nucleotides) under Hevea brasiliensis (rubber tree). The record is from RNAcentral. Lineage: Eukaryota; Viridiplantae; Streptophyta; Magnoliopsida; Malpighiales; Euphorbiaceae.